This 446-nucleotide ribosomal RNA is filed under the name uncultured bacterium. RNAcentral describes it as "partial 16S ribosomal RNA". It matches the Rfam family "Bacterial small subunit ribosomal RNA", at positions 338 to 795 of the family's 1533-position model. The record is from RNAcentral.
CCUACGGGUGGCAGCAGUCGAGAAUCAUUCACAAUGGGGGAAACCCUGAUGGUGCGACGCCGCGUGGGGGAAUGAAGGUCUUCGGAUUGUAAACCCCUGUCAUGUGGGAGCAAAUUAAAAAGAUAGUACCACAAGAGGAAGAGACGGCUAACUCUGUGCCAGCAGCUGCGGUAAUACAGAGGUCUCAAGCGUUGUUCGGAAUCACUGGGCGUAAAGCGUGCGUAGGCUGUUUCGUAAGUCGUGUGUGAAAGGCGCGGGCUCAACCCGCGGACGGCACAUGAUACUGCGAGACUAGAGUAAGGGAGGGGGAACCGGAAUUCUCGGUGUAGCAGUGAAAUGCGUAGAUAUCGAGAGGAACACUCGUGGCGAAGGCGGGUUCCUGGACAUUAACUGACGCUGAGGCACGAAGGCGAGGGGAGCGAAAGGGAUUAGAUACCCUUGUAGUC